GUCUACGGCCAUACCACCCUGAACGUGCCCAAUGUCGUCUGAUCUCAUUAGGCAGGGUCGGGCCUGGUUAGUACUUGGAUGGGAGAAGGUUGCUAUGAAAAUCAAGUUGGUGAUGAUG
Molecule: ribosomal RNA, 118 nt
Organism: Ochotona princeps (American pika)
Lineage: Eukaryota; Metazoa; Chordata; Mammalia; Lagomorpha; Ochotonidae
Source: Ensembl